RNAcentral lists this ribosomal RNA (632 nucleotides) under Cryptachaea riparia. Its description in RNAcentral is "SSU rRNA". It matches the Rfam family "Eukaryotic small subunit ribosomal RNA", at positions 1108 to 1767 of the family's 1831-position model. The record is from RNAcentral. Lineage: Eukaryota; Metazoa; Arthropoda; Arachnida; Araneae; Theridiidae.
ACCAAAGCUUUUGGGUUCCGGGGGAAGUAUGGUUGCAAAGCUGAAACUUAAAGGAAUUGACGGAAGGGCACUACCAGGAAUGGAGCCUGCGGCUUAAUUUGACUCAACACGGGGAAGCUUACCUGGAUMGGACACAGGAAGGAUUGACAGAUUAAGAGCUCUUUCUUGAUUCUGUGGAAGGUGGUGCAUGGCCAUUCUUAGUUGGUGGAGCGAUUUGUCUGGUUAAUUCCGAUAACGACCGAGACUCUAGCCUACUAAAUAGACGUUCCGAUCCUUGCUGUCGGACGCUCUUCUUAGAGGGACACGCGGCGUUUAGCCGCACGAGACAGAGCAAUAGUAGGUCUGUGAUGCCCUUAGAUGUCCAGGGCCGCACGCGCGCUACAAUGAAGGAAUCAGCGUGUGCUUUCCCUGUCCGACAGGACUGGGUAACCCGUUGAACCUCCUUCGUGCUUGGGAUAGGCGUUUGUAAUUAUCCGCCUUGAACGAGGAAUUCCCAGUAAGCGCGAGUCAUCAGCUSGUGUUGAUUACGUCCCUGCCCUUUGUGCACACCGCCCGUCGCAACAUCCRAUGGAAUGAUUUAKUGAGGUCCUCGRACUGGCGCUCGGAUUGACCUCCGGGUCGAGCCGGCGUGC